RNAcentral lists this ribosomal RNA (497 nucleotides) under uncultured bacterium. RNAcentral's name for it is "partial 16S ribosomal RNA". It matches the Rfam family "Bacterial small subunit ribosomal RNA", at positions 28 to 507 of the family's 1533-position model. The record is from RNAcentral.
GACGAACGCUGGCGGCGUGCCUAAUACAUGCAAGUCGAGCGAACGGACGAGAAGCUUGCUUCUCUGAUGUUAGCGGCGGACGGGUGAGUAACACGUGGAUAACCUACCUAUAAGACUGGGAUAACUUCGGGAAACCGGAGCUAAUACCGGAUAAUAUUUUGAACCGCAUGGUUCAAAAGUGAAAGACGGUCUUGCUGUCACUUAUAGAUGGAUCCGCGCUGCAUUAGCUAGUUGGUAAGGUAACGGCUUACCAAGGCAACGAUGCAUAGCCGACCUGAGAGGGUGAUCGGCCACACUGGAACUGAGACACGGUCCAGACUCCUACGGGGGGCAGCAGUAGGGAAUCUUCCGCAAAGGGCGAAAGCCUGACGGAGCAACGCCGCGUGAGUGAUGAAGGUCUUCGGAUCGUAAAACUCUGUUAUUAGGGAAGAACAUAUGUGUAAGUAACUGUGCACAUCUUGACGGUACCUAAUCAGAAAGCCACGGCUAACUACGUG